Myxocyprinus asiaticus (Chinese sucker) is the source of this 2613-nucleotide RNA transcript. It is a transcript of the gene named MICOS complex subunit mic25a-like, with no coding region annotated. The record is from RefSeq and is a predicted model, not a curated record. The transcript has 10 exons. Lineage: Eukaryota; Metazoa; Chordata; Actinopteri; Cypriniformes; Catostomidae.
GGACACUGGUCCUUCACGGGCUGUCGGUUCUCCACGGUAAGAUGUAAAUCUGUCAAACAUAUCGCCGAAUGCAGGGGAUAAUUGGUGAUAAUUUCAAACAGUUUCUCUUUCAUUAGAGACCAAUUAAAGAGGCGGUAAUAAAAAAGCUAUGGGAUCCGGAGAGAGCACGAGCAGGAGAGUUUCUUUCGGCCUAGAUGAGGAUGACAGAGUGAGGAUUCUGCGUGGAGUGAAGCUAUCUGAAGAUGUUCUACAGCGCAUGAGAAAUGCUGGUCAAACUCCUGAACCGAAACAACCUGUCAAUGAUAAAGAAAACCAAGGACAGCAGACUCAAACAUCCAGCACAUCUGACACUCCAGCUCCAAAAUCUCAGACCAGGACAACUUUUCCUGACACUAAAGAGGAAUUGAGGAAAAGGUAUGAGCAGCAGCAGGCCAUUAUACAAGAGGAGCUGGCUCGCAUCGCUCAGAAAGAGAGAGAGGCAGUGCGGCAGGAUAUCACUCGAACGGUGCUGAGAGAGAAAGUGCAGACAAAGCUGGAGUCUGAGAAAGCCAAACAGCUGGGGAAACAGCUGGACAAGAAGGAGGCGGAACUAAAGGCGCUGGAUGCCUUCUACAGGGAGCAGAUCACACAGCUAGAAAAGAAGAAUGUAGAACGCUUCAAGAUGUCUGCCGCACAAUUCCACACAGCCGCAACCAGGAGUGAAGCCAGCAUAAAGCCUCGUAACAUGGAACCGGUGUGUACGAACUUGCAGGCUCAGAUCCUGAACUGCUACAGACAGAACCGCGAACAGACACUUCAGUGUUCAGAUCUGGCCAAAGAGUACAUGCAGUGCAUCAAUGCAGCCAAGAAGGAAUGGCCAUUGCCACAAAAGCAGGAGGUGGUAAACACAAAAUCCAAAUCAAUAGUAUUUGUUUGGAUAAUCGAAGAUCUUUCUCACUACACACAAAGCCUCUGGUUUAUUGUUUGCUCGAUGGGCCCAGGGAAAAACUCCACAUCGUUCCUACCUGCUGUUGACACAGACUCGCUUUAAUGUGAGGCAACCAAGACUAGAUUACUUUAAAGUAUAAUUUGCCCAAAAAUGAAAUUUCUGUCAUCGUUUACCAUCUCUUAUGUUGUUCCAAACCUGUACGAUUUUAUUUGUUUUGUGGAAUUGAAAAGGGGAGAUUUUACAGAUUAUCCAACCUGCUCUUUUCCAUACAGCUAAAGUGGAUGGUGAUCUAUGCUUUGAAAUGCCAUUUGUGCUUUUGUUCAAUUUAAACAUCUGUGUUGCAUUGUGUUCGAGCACAGAAACCAAUGAUGUUUGACAUCAUUGACGUCAAACUUGGCGCAGUGCGUCUUGAGGCGCAUUUUUGAAUGCAUAUAAGUGCAAAUGAGAUUUUAGACCUUUGGCAGAGGAGAAGAUUUUCAGUGAAUAACUGUUACUCACAAAAAGCUAUCGUAUGGCUUCGGAAGAUAUGCAAUAUUGUGCUCGAGUUUUAUGGACUAUAUUUAUGGGACUAUUAUGUUGCUUUUUUGUCCUUUUUGGAGCUUGACAGUGUAAAUCACCAUCCACAUUUGUUGUAUGGAAAAGAGCAACACAUCUGCAAAAUAUCUUUUGUGUUUCACACAGGAAAGAGAACAUGGAUUUGAAACAACUUGAAUGACAUAACAGACGUUUCUGGGAGUGUGAAAUAUAACGCAACCAACCUUGUUGUAAUCAAGCUGCAUUUACCGGUAAUUAGAAUCCAGCCAUUAAACAUACAUUAAACAGUGGCAUUUAGGAAGAUGGUUUAACUACUUAUGUUUUCUUUAAAGGAAGCAUAUUUAUUUACAUUACAGCUAAAUGAACUGAAGUGGGAUUUAUGGUCUUUUCAGACUGAGAAUGAGGAGAAUGUGCUUGAGAUGCCUGUUUGUUUUAAACACAGAUCAAAUGCAAGGUCUUCUCAUCAUAGCAGUUCCCCAACAGCAGUUAGAGGCUAUAGAAGCCCUUAUUAGAGAAACUCUCUCUUGCGCUUGACACACUUCACUUGCGCUUGACACACUAGGAAGACUGCACGCCCUGGAAUGAAGGAAGACAGAAGAAGAGCGAGAGCGGGGCGGUCCAUUUGUGCCGGGAGCAAACCCUGCGCUCGCUGUCUGAGGGGAGGGCGCCCACGCUUCUCUGGGCAUUGUCUGGAAUAAUGACUCUGAGAUUGGCUGAUUCCUCCACACUGCGCCGGGAUUCUCCACCCAUUUACGGCCUGGGCCUGAUGCUCCGUCUUAGAUGAAUCUGUUGGUGAAUCACGGAUAAAGAUCUGUUCUGCUUGUCAGCAGUGCCGCCAUCUUACCUGUCACUCAGAUUCAUCUGUGUGUUGGGUUUCACGGGCCGCUGCAUCUUCAGCCUUUCCAUCCAAUUACCAUCUGAUCCCCGGGCUCUGAGUCACACUACAGUGUACUGAACAAGCUAUAUUCUGCAGGCCGCUGCGAAUUUUCCAUUAUCUAAAACAGCACUGAGAAUGGGAUCACAAAAAUGCUAGGCUUGAUUUAUAUAAGAGUAUACUCAGGAAAUCCUGAUGCUUUUAAUUGUUAGGGUUUUAUUUACAAAUUAUAUUUAAUCAAAACCAUAUCUACAUAAAAGGAUAACUGAACAAAGUU